CGUCUUAUUAAAAAAAUUUUGCUUACUUUAUUUUAUCUUAUAAAUUAGUAAACAAUUAACAUACAAGCUAUAAAGAAGCUUGGCUCUGACUUAAAAUAUAAUGAAAACUAAAGAAUACACAUGGUUUUUAUUGAAAAAAGCGAGGUGGAAGUUAUUUACUUUUAACUAAAAUAAUUGAGAGUUAUGUUUCUUCCAUGAUAUUAUAGUUUUACAUAAUGUCUUGAAAAGUCCCGCUAACACCAGUGCUGAAGAUUAAAAAGAAGUGAAAACUUGCUUUAGUUUAGUUUGUUUAGAUCUGGUUAACUUGGUGCCAGCAUCCGCGGUUAAACCAAGAUGAUCAAAUUAUAUACUUACGGUGAAAAAAUAGUUAAAUUUUAAUAAGUUUACUGAAUAUUUAUAUAAGAGUAAAAUCUAAAUAUAGAUAAAAAAUUCUAUUUGAACUUAAAUAUUGAAGCUAUGAAAACCUUGAGGGAAACUGGGAUUAGAUACCCCAUUAUUCUUGGAUAUAAAAUAAUUAUAAUUUACCAGAGUACUAUGAAUUAACAGUUUAAAACUUAAAGGGCUUGGCGGUGUUUUAGACCUCUUAGGGGAACCUGUCUCAUAAUCGACAGUCCACGUUAAACCUGACCUUCUUUUGCAUUCAAUUUGUAUACCGUCGUCGUCAGGUAACUUUUUAGAAAAUAGAAGUUAGCAACCAAAUAGUAUUAAGUUUAUACGUCAGAUCAAGGUGCAGUUAAUAAGAAGGAGAGGAUGGGUUACAAUUAUAUAAUUAUAAUUACGAAAACUUUUUUGAAAUAAAACUAUGAAGGAGGACUUAAAAGUAAGAUAAGAUAUAUAAAUACUCUGAAUCAGGCUCUGAAACGUGCACACAUCGCCCGUCGCUCUCGCUGAAAAGUGAGAUAAGUCGUAACAUAGCAGGGGUAAUGGAAAUUGUUCCUAAAU
This 942-nucleotide non-coding RNA is filed under the name Coralliophila squamulosa. RNAcentral's name for it is "small subunit ribosomal RNA". The stretch from base 528 to 939 matches the Rfam family "Microsporidia small subunit ribosomal RNA", at positions 752 to 1303 of the family's 1311-position model. The record is from RNAcentral. Lineage: Eukaryota; Metazoa; Mollusca; Gastropoda; Neogastropoda; Muricidae.